UACGGGGGGAGCAAGCGUUGUUCGGAUUUACUGGGCGUAAAGGGCGCGUAGGCGGUCAGCACAAGUCAGUUGUGAAAUCUCCGGGCUUAACUCGGAAAGGUCAACUGAUACUGUGCGACUAGAGUGCAGAAGGGGCAACUGGAAUUCUCGGUGUAGCGGUGAAAUGCGUAGAUAUCGAGAGGAACACCUGCGGCGAAGGCGGGUUGCUGGGUUGCCACUGACGCUGAUGCGCGAAAGCCAGGGGAGCAAACGGG
This 254-nucleotide ribosomal RNA is filed under the name uncultured bacterium. RNAcentral's name for it is "partial 16S ribosomal RNA". It matches the Rfam family "Bacterial small subunit ribosomal RNA", at positions 524 to 776 of the family's 1533-position model. The record is from RNAcentral.